RNAcentral lists this ribosomal RNA (209 nucleotides) under uncultured bacterium. Its description in RNAcentral is "partial 16S ribosomal RNA". It matches the Rfam family "Bacterial small subunit ribosomal RNA", at positions 568 to 775 of the family's 1533-position model. The record is from RNAcentral.
CGUGUAGGCGGGAAGGAAAGUCAGAUGUGAAAUCCCCAGGCUCAACCUGGGAACUGCAUUUGAAACUCCCUUUCUUGAGUAUCGGAGAGGAAAGCGGAAUUCCUGGUGUAGAGGUGAAAUUCGUAGAUAUCAGGAGGAACACCAGCGGCGAAGGCGGCUUUCUGGACGGUAACUGACGCUGAGACGCGAAAGCGUGGGGAAGCAAACAG